RNAcentral lists this transfer RNA (78 nucleotides) under Microbacterium phage Big4. RNAcentral's name for it is "tRNA-Cys". It matches the Rfam family "tRNA". Rfam says of the family: Transfer RNA (tRNA) molecules are approximately 80 nucleotides in length. Their secondary structure includes four short double-helical elements and three loops (D, anti-codon, and T loops). Further hydrogen bonds mediate the characteristic L-shaped molecular structure. tRNAs have two regions of fundamental functional importance: the anti-codon, which is responsible for specific mRNA codon recognition, and the 3' end, to which the tRNAs corresponding amino acid is attached (by aminoacyl-tRNA synthetases). tRNAs cope with the degeneracy of the genetic code in two manners: having more than one tRNA (with a specific anti-codon) for a particular amino acid; and 'wobble' base-pairing, i.e. permitting non-standard base-pairing at the 3rd anti-codon position. Lineage: Duplodnaviria; Heunggongvirae; Uroviricota; Caudoviricetes. The record is from RNAcentral.
GGCCCUGUGCGUGAGUGGUCAAGCGCUCCGGUUGCAACCCGGAUGAAAUUGUCGGUUCGAUUCCGACCAGGGUCUCCA